GUAGGGUGCGAGCGUUAAUCGGAAUUACUGGGCGUAAAGCGUGCGCAGGCGGUUUUGAAAGUCAGAUGUGAAAUCCCCGGGCUCAACCUGGGAACUGCGUUUGAAACUCCAAAGCUAGAGUAUGGGAGAGGGGGGUAGAAUUCCACGUGUAGCAGUGAAAUGCGUAGAGAUGUGGAGGAAUACCAAUGGCGAAGGCAGCCCCCUGGCUUAAUACUGACGCUCAUGCACGAAAGCGUGGGGAGCAAACAGGAUUAGAUACCCUGGUAGUCCACGCCCUAAACGAUGUCUACUAGUUGUUGGGAGAGUAAAAUCUCUUAGUAACGCACKAACGCGUGAAGUAGACCGCC
Molecule: ribosomal RNA, 347 nt
Filed under: uncultured bacterium
Lineage: Bacteria
Description: bacterial SSU rRNA
Rfam family: Bacterial small subunit ribosomal RNA
Source: RNAcentral